UCGCAUCGCUGGGAUUGCUUGACGAAAAAAGCCUGGCGCUCACGCCCGCGGCGACGCAGCCUUCGCCGGUCGCCGCGGACUGAUCGCCUCUCACUUUUUGUACGUCGCCGAUCCGAUAGCGACGUUCGCAUCCGUCGCGCCAGACGUCGUCGUGCUCAACGCGUAUGGCAGCAUCUCCACCGCGAUGCGGUAUGUGCCCGCGGGGAUGGCGGCGCCGAUCUCGAUGCCGGCGGUCAUCGUUGUUGAUGCGCCUGCGGCGAGCUUGAUGUUCUUCGUCGCGAUGCCGACCACGUGAUCUUCUGAGCCGAUCGUCGCAUUGGUCGUUGCGUACACCAGCACGUUCACGCGGCGCUCGGUGGCCUUGUUGGCGAGAUUCGUCACGCGAAUCACCGCGGUGCCCUUGUCGCCGGCAUGAAGCGUCGGCGGGAGCGACGACGAUUCCACCGUGGCCUUGAGAUCAGACGUCGAAGGCUCGCUGACAUACACGCGGAGGAUCGACGUCGUGCCGGUGCUGUUGCCGUCCCAAUCGCUCUUCACCGUGACGCCGCCGUCCUGCGCGAUCAGCACGCCGUCGGUCAUCGUCAGGUUGUUGUUGGCGCGGACGGUGAGCUUGUCCUUCGCGCGGAGGCGGAAGUUGCUCAUCGUGCCGUCACCGGUCGUGAAGAUGUUGAGGUUGUCAGUCGAGUAGAGAUUUCCUUCCACGUUCACCGACGCGGGCUGAACAUCGCCGGCAGCGCCGACGAGAAUCUCAUGUCCACUGAGCGUCGUGUUGCGAUUGCGGAUCGCGACCGUGCUCUCGGUGUUGGUGGUGCGGAGGUGAAUCUCGCCAAGCGGCGAGGCGAUGAACGCCGAGCCGGCGGCCGAGCCAACCUGCAGAUGCAUUCCGCGGAGCGAGAUGAUGCCGUUGGCCGCGCCGAUCGACGCGUUCGUCCGGCUGGCUAUUCGCACCAUGCCCUGGCGAUCGCGAUCGACGUCCGCAGCGAGCGUGACGUCGCCGUCGGUCUUCACGCCGAUGCUGCCGUUGAGCGUGAUGUUUCCGCCCGACAGGACAGUCACAUCGCCGUUCACGCCGCUCGUCGAAAGAUUCCCGCGCAGAUCAGCCGUGCCCGCAGCGCCCGCGGCCCGCAGCGUGACCGCCGAGGCGAACGGCGCGUCGCCAACGACGAUCGCGUGCUGUCCUUCGUCGCCCGAAUCAAAUCCAUCAGUGCCCCGCCCAAUGAUCACCUGGCUGAAGCUCGAUCCCAGCCCCGCGACUUCCUCUGUCGUAAGCUCGAAUCCGUUGCCAGCAAGGCCGACAAGAAUUCCCACCGUCGCCGAUUUCGGCUGAAGCACGAGCCUGCCCGCGCCGUUAAUUGAGUUCGGCGUGUUCGGCAACGAGAUCGUGUUCGCGGUGAUCACGAUGUCGCCGAGCGCGCCCGAAAUCUUCGCGCGAGUCUUCUCGACGAAAUCAGAGGCGUUGAUGGUGAUUGCUCCGCCGGUGGACAUGCCCGCCGCGGUGCCGAGCGCGACUUCGUUCGUCGCGUUGAGCGUGAUUGGGGCGUUGUUGCGGGCCACGAUUCCGCCCAGGAUGUCGAUGGCCGUGCUGUCGAUCGACACACCCUUGUCGCGCGUCGUCGAGAGCGUUCCCAUGAUCGUCGUCGUAGAACUGCCGGCCAUCUGCUGGAUCCAGCCCGCGCCGACAUCACCCGCAAACGUGAGCACGCGAGCGUUUCGCACGAGCAGCGUCGCCAGACGCGCCGCCUGGCCAACGCCCGCGAGGAACCGCAGAUCGCGCGCCGCCCAGAUCGUCAGGUUGAACGCGCCAUCGAGCGUGCUGCCGAACGUCACCGAUGCGCGGCCGUUGCGGCUGGUGUUGAUCUUCACAUCGCCGGUGAGCGUCGUCGGCGAGAGGAAUUUGAUCGCAUCGCCGCUGCUGUAAAGAUCGGCCGCAGUGUUGAUGCCGGUGCCGCUCAGGGUGAUCGCCCCGCCGGCGCUGAUGUCGCCAUCGACGCCAAGCGUAAGCACGCCGCCCGCGGCGAGCGUGACGGCGCCCGUCGCGCCGAUCAGCCCGGUGACGUUGAUGUCGCUGCCCGCCGUCGCCGACACAUCGCCGGUGAUGUUCAUCGCGGCCGUGGUCAUUGCGCCCGCGGAGUCGAGCGUAAGCGAUGCUCCGUUCAAUUCGCCCGCGAGGGUCAUGGCGACAUCGGCAUCGAGGUUGAUCGCGCCGACGGCGGUGAUAACGCCGUUGGAAGUUGUGUUGACGUUGUCGGCGUGGAGCGCCACCGUGGUGCCGGCGUUGAGCGCGGCAUCGAUCGUCGCCGUGCCCGCGGCGUCGAUCGAGAUCGACGAGCCCGCAAGAAUCGACGCGCCCACCGAGGCGUUUCCACCCGCGGUGAUCGUCGUCGAUCCGCCCGAAUGCAGCGUGCCGGUGGUUGACACAUCGCCCGCGGCCGUGAGCGUGAUCGUCGUGCCGGCUUCGAUGUCGCCGGCGGUUGCGAUGUUCGCAGACGAGGUGAUCGCGACGGCGCCUUCGGCGUCAAUGUCGCCCGCGGCGCUGGUUGUGACGUUGCCGCCGGAUGCGGUGACCGUCACGCCCGCAUCAGAAUUCACCGCGGCGUUGAUCGCGACCGCGCCCGUGGCCGACGAGAUCGUCGUCGCGAGCUUCGAGUUGACCGCGGCCCCAAUCGUCACGCCUGUCUUGCCCGCGAUCGCAACUGUGCCGUUGCUCGAAGUCACCGCGCCGCCCGUGGCGGUGGAUGCAUUACUCGAGCUCACGCUCACGUUGCCCUUGCCAAGAAUCACGCCGGUGUUGC
This 2792-nucleotide unclassified non-coding RNA is filed under the name uncultured fungus. RNAcentral describes it as "sequence contains 18S rRNA gene, ITS1, 5.8S rRNA gene, ITS2, 28S rRNA gene". The record is from RNAcentral. Lineage: Eukaryota; Fungi.